Molecule: ribosomal RNA, 164 nt
Filed under: uncultured bacterium
Lineage: Bacteria
Description: partial 16S rRNA
Rfam family: Bacterial small subunit ribosomal RNA
Source: RNAcentral
UAGGGAAUCUUCCACAAUGGACGAAAGUCUGAUGGAGCAACGCCGCGUGGGUGAAGAAGGGUUUCGGCUCGUAAAACUCUGUUGUUAAAGAAGAACAUAUCUGAGAGUAACUGUUCAGGUAUUGACGGUAUUUAACCAGAAAGCCACGGCUAACUACGUGUCAG